RNAcentral lists this long non-coding RNA (2101 nucleotides) under Homo sapiens (human). RNAcentral describes it as "HSALNT0172264". The record is from RNAcentral. Lineage: Eukaryota; Metazoa; Chordata; Mammalia; Primates; Hominidae.
GGCCCGCCCCUCGCAGCCUUGCCGCGCCCCGUGCGCCCUGUCCGCCCCUCGCUCGCAUUGCAGGCAUCCUGAGUCUCGGCCCUUUUCGCCAAAUCGCUGCUCUGCCGCGCGCCUACGCAAGGAAAGAUUCAAGGGUCCCUCCACUUCAGGGAGUGGAGCCCGCGCCUCGGCACGGAUCAGCUGUGCGUCUCCUUUGGCCUACUGGCUCCUCUGCUUGUGUCUAUAGCUAGCUGGACGCAUCGUGACUUUAUCUUCUCAUCUUUCCUGGCGCCCCCAGACGCAUUUCCUGGUCCCUCGAGGCAGCGGCGUCUGGGGAGUGCACUUUGCACAGACAGGGAAACCGAGGCACUCAGCGGUCUCCAAUGGAGACGCUGUAAUCGCAUUCCACGACCAGCUAGCGCUAUAAGCGCUGCCUCUAAAGCGGAAGGCCUCCCAGUCCUUCUCGACAGGAAGCAAUAUUUGCAUAUCUAAGGAGAACAAGAUUCGGCAAUGUGCUCCGGGAGCAAGUGCAGGCAUGGAACGGUAUGGGCUGGAGGGGGACAGACCUUCAGAGGCGGCUGCCCGUUCCCUGUAGUGUCACAUAAGAUUUUUAGAAGAUAGGAGUUUUCACAGUGGCGGCAGAGCCCUCUGCUAAAUCCUCAUAUUAGAUGUCAAAGGUGGCAUGUCAUUUGACCCAAUGGCUUUUUUAGUCAUUUAUCUUCCUAACACCUAUGAGAGGGAGAAAGUUUAAGCUCUCCUCACUAUGAGUUUUCAAGUAUAAAAGACUUUUUCUUCCACGAUUUUGAGAACAACUGAGGACUCUUGUGACCAGGACAACAGGGAAGCUUGCAGCAAGAUAGCUCCAGGUUGGAUUCAUGCUUCGCACCCCAAGGGCUGCCAGCCAGAGAGGAGGAGAAGCAAUCACUCCUGCAGUUUCUGAACACUACACAGACGCCAGGUAGCUUCUUCAGGAGAACAGCCCUCUGAGGAGGCAGGAAGAGGAGGCUUAUCUUUCAGCAGCCGGAGCUGCUGAGAUCUCUGGGCAGAUUAAGCUCUCUCUAAUGGAUGGGCUCCAGCCUGGCACAUUCAGUGGAGAGGGAUCCACUCAUCCAUCAUCAACAUAAUAUGGUCCUCCCUGCACUUCACAGUGUCCUCUUGCUAUUGAAAAGGCUUUUUUGCCUUCUCAAGUUUCUUUGUCAACAGUCUACAGGAAGAAGCUCAGGCCGCCACCGGCAGAGGUGAAUGCAAGCUCACGUUUUAUUUCUGACUGCUUAAUCAUUGCCUCGAUCACUGCUCAAGCUCUGCCUUUGUUUCCAAAGGUUACCUGUGGGAAAACUUCUUUUUCUAUGCUGAAAUUAAUAGGGAGGCAAAGAUGAGUCCACUGAUAAGCAGAGCCUUAAAACUCACAUAGAGAAACAACUUUGCUGGAGUGUGUGUGAGUGAACCACUAAGGAAUCAGAUAGUGUGAUGGCAGUUAUCAUUGCAGGUUAAGACAUUUCUACAAAUAUUUCGACAUCUCCAUAUACUCACUCCUUUCCCCCCUGAGUGGAGAGACUCAGCUACCAAGAGAGGAAGCUCAAAAAAAACAGAAGCUUCAAACAAACAACCAACCAAAAAAAAAAAAAAACUGUGGGUUCAUCAGAGGUGGUAGGGAAGACAAAAACAUGGGAGGAGCAGCUGGGCACGGUGGCUCAAGCCUGUAAUCCCAGCACUUUGCGAGGCUGAGGUGGGUGGAUCACCUGAGGUCAGGAGUUCGAGACCAGCCUGGCCAACAUGGUGAAACCCCAUCUCUACUAAAAAUACAAAAAAUUAGCCGGGCGUUGUGGUACGCACCUGUAAUCCCAGCUACUCCGGAGGCUGAGGCAGCAGAAUCGCUUGAACCCAGGAGGCAGAGGUUGCAACGAGCCAAGAUCGCACCAUUGCACUCCAGCCUGGGCAACAAGAGCGAAACUCCAUCUAAAAAAAACAAACAAGCAAACAAACAAAAAACACGGGAGGAGCAAUAAAAAGGAAUCCAUGCUUUGAUUUUUUUUUUUAGUGAGAGGAAGGGAAGGCUGCUGCCUCUCACUUCUCCCUGUUUUGUUGUUCUUUUAAGUAGCAUGUGUCACUCUGUAUAUAUCCU